UCUAAGUUUGAUGGCGACCGGCGCACGGGUGAGUAACACGUAUCCAACCUGCCGAUGACUCGGGGAUAGCCUUUCGAAAGAAAGAUUAAUACCCGAUGGCAUAGUUUUUCCGCAUGGUGGAACUAUUAAAGAAUUUCGGUCAUCGAUGGGGAUGCGUUCCAUUAGGUUGUUGGCGGGGUAACGGCCCACCAAGCCUUCGAUGGAUAGGGGUUCUGAGAGGAAGGUCCCCCACAUUGGAACUGAGACACGGUCCAAACUCCUACGGGAGGCAGCAUG
RNAcentral lists this ribosomal RNA (276 nucleotides) under uncultured bacterium. Its description in RNAcentral is "partial 16S ribosomal RNA". It matches the Rfam family "Bacterial small subunit ribosomal RNA", at positions 78 to 353 of the family's 1533-position model. The record is from RNAcentral.